RNAcentral lists this unclassified non-coding RNA (331 nucleotides) under soil metagenome. RNAcentral's name for it is "partial contains 5.8S ribosomal RNA, internal transcribed spacer 2, and large subunit ribosomal RNA". The stretch from base 1 to 120 matches the Rfam family "5.8S ribosomal RNA", at positions 35 to 154 of the family's 154-position model. The record is from RNAcentral.
GAUGAAGAACGCAGCGAAAUGCGAUAAGUAAUGUGAAUUGCAGAAUUCAGUGAACCAUCGAAUCUUUGAACGCACAUCGCGCCCUCUGGUAUUCCGGGGGGCAUGCCUGUUCGAGCGUCAUUUCACCACUCAAGCCUCGCUUGGUAUUGGGCAACGCGGUCCGCCGCGUGCCUCAAAUCGACCGGCUGGGUCUUCUGUCCCCUAAGCGUUGUGGAAACUAUUCGCUAAAGGGUGUUCGGGAGGCUACGCCGUAAAACAACCCCAUUUCUAAGGUUGACCUCGGAUCAGGUAGGGAUACCCGCUGAACUUAAGCAUAUCAAUAAGCGGAGGA